Pipra filicauda (Wire-tailed manakin) is the source of this 246-nucleotide long non-coding RNA. RefSeq lists it as uncharacterized. The record is from RefSeq and is a predicted model, not a curated record. NCBI's taxonomy places the organism in Eukaryota, Metazoa, Chordata, Aves, Passeriformes, Pipridae. The transcript is spliced from 2 exons.
CAUUCCACAUCCAUUUUGGCCAAGAGAAGCAGCCCAGCCUGGAUGACACAACAUCCACCAGUGAUCCAGACUCCGUUCCCAGGGCUCGUCAAAAACCCACCCAAGGAGCUCUGCACCUGCCCCAGGAGGGGGAGGGAUGAUCCCAUUCCUGCCAGGCACAGCCUGGCCUUGCUCAAAACCAUUGGAAGGAGGUUUCCAGCUGCCUACUUUUGUUUCCCAAUUAAUAAAGGGUAAAUGACACUUGGA